RNAcentral lists this transfer RNA (58 nucleotides) under Loxodonta africana (African savanna elephant). It matches the Rfam family "tRNA", at positions 7 to 64 of the family's 71-position model. Rfam says of the family: Transfer RNA (tRNA) molecules are approximately 80 nucleotides in length. Their secondary structure includes four short double-helical elements and three loops (D, anti-codon, and T loops). The record is from Rfam by way of RNAcentral. Lineage: Eukaryota; Metazoa; Chordata; Mammalia; Proboscidea; Elephantidae.
GUGGUUCAGAGUCAGAAUUCUUGCCUUCCACGCAGGAGACCUGGAUUCAACUCCCAGC